RNAcentral lists this unclassified non-coding RNA (441 nucleotides) under Hevea brasiliensis (rubber tree). Lineage: Eukaryota; Viridiplantae; Streptophyta; Magnoliopsida; Malpighiales; Euphorbiaceae. The record is from RNAcentral.
UAUCUUGUGCAUAAAGCUUCUGCGAAAAAUAAUGGCAUGAAAAGCAACUGAUAAAAAAAGAAAUAAAUCCAAGGAUUAGUUUUUUAACUUCAUUAAACUCACACAGAUGCAGGUAGUAAUGUUCAUUGCAUAUAUAGAAAAUACACUCACGUAAACAACUAAUAGAUAGGCAAAGCAAAUUUUGCACAGAGGAUACAAAAUUGAAGUUAUGACGUCAUACGAGGACCUUGUCCAUAUUAACAAAUAGAACAGAUAAAGGAGGAAAAACAAAAAGGCUAAUCCAAUUCUAUAUGGAAGGGAAAAAAGGCACAGGCUUAUCGAAUGAUAAAUAAAUGACUGAAAUUAAUUUUAAGAUUAAAAGGGCUAGAAAUGGAGACAAUUGAUAUAAUCUCCCUUUUUGGAAAGGGGCAAAUUAAUAGAAAACCGGCUUAAUACGCCAAC